GAGAUAGAGACAUAUAUAUGUAUAUAUAUAUAUGGAUGUGUGUACAUAUAUAUUUACACAUAUGUACAUAUAUAUUUGAAUAUGUGUGUGUGUGUGUAUGUGUAUAUAUGUGUGUGUAACCGAAAUAUAACGAAUAUAAUUAAGAAUAAUUGACGCCUACCCGUUCAACCAAAAGACAACGUGCCCAGGCUUCCAUAAGGAUAAUUUGGCAACGAUCGAGAAAUCGUAGGUUUUUCCCGCCCGGAAUUAUACUUAAAGGCAGCCACUGCGCACCCCAUCCCGCCACUCCUCAUCUGCGUCUGCUGCGAAUAGGUACCAUGCGCCUGAGGCCCUUGUCUUGCCUGCUGCUCCUGAGCCUCGUCCUCGCCGUGACCUCCCACCAUAAAAUUCAACAUUUGGCCGAUGAUGUCCCGAAGCCAUUCUCUUUGCUCUGGGUCUUGCCUUGCUGGGAUGAAUGCGUCAGGAAAACCAGUGCUGGAUAUUGUGUACUCGACUGGCUGUGCGAGGUCUCAAAAAGACACUCAUGAAACGUCGGUAGAGAACCAAACUGAAAGCUUUGUGAAGGAAUAAAUAAAGAUUAAAAGCAGGCUCUCCCUGGAUCAUGGUGUUUAUUUUCA
Molecule: long non-coding RNA, 617 nt
Organism: Penaeus vannamei (Pacific white shrimp)
Lineage: Eukaryota; Metazoa; Arthropoda; Malacostraca; Decapoda; Penaeidae
Source: RefSeq, a predicted model, not a curated record